This 405-nucleotide unclassified non-coding RNA is filed under the name soil metagenome. RNAcentral's name for it is "partial contains 5.8S ribosomal RNA, internal transcribed spacer 2, and large subunit ribosomal RNA". The stretch from base 1 to 121 matches the Rfam family "5.8S ribosomal RNA", at positions 35 to 154 of the family's 154-position model. The record is from RNAcentral.
GAUGAAGAACGUAGCGAAUUGCGAUAAGUAAUGUGAAUUGCAGAAUUCAGUGAAUCAUCGAAUCUUUGAACGCACCUUGCGCCCUUUGGCCAUUCCGAAGGGCAUGCCUGUUUGAGUAUCAUGAACACCUCAACUCUUUAUGGUUUUCCAUGAUGAGCUUGGACUCUGGGGGUUUUGCUGGCUCACAGUCGGCUCCUCUAAAAUAAAUCAGCUUACCAGUGUUUGGUGGGUAUCAUGGGUGUGAUAACUAUCUACGCUUGUGGUUUUUCCACCAGGUAACCUUCAGCAGUGGAGGUUCGCUGGAGCUCAUAGACGUCUCUCCUCAGUGAGGACAGCCCUUUGAACGUUUGAACUCAAAUCAGGUAGGACUACCCGCUGAACUUAAGCAUAUCAAUAAGCGGAGGA